This is a long non-coding RNA of Poecile atricapillus (Black-capped chickadee), 238 nucleotides long. RefSeq lists it as uncharacterized. NCBI's taxonomy places the organism in Eukaryota, Metazoa, Chordata, Aves, Passeriformes, Paridae. The transcript has 3 exons. The record is from RefSeq and is a predicted model, not a curated record.
GAGCUCAUUCCUGACCCACCAGAAAGUCAGAUGUUCUCUUUCUUUCCUCUGGGAGUGGGCACAGCGCUCUGCCCGGUCAAUGGCAGCCAACUCAGCUUUCAACAACAGAUGUUUUGAGGGUUGUUUUCUGCUUCUUGGAGGAGCUGUCUCUUCCCUGAGCAUCUUGAAGGUUUUUUUGGCCUCUAAACACUAUAAAGGAGGAAAAAUACCCCAAAAAGUAGAAAGAAACAGAAAUAAG